Ruditapes philippinarum (Manila clam) is the source of this 1135-nucleotide long non-coding RNA. RefSeq lists it as uncharacterized. Lineage: Eukaryota; Metazoa; Mollusca; Bivalvia; Venerida; Veneridae. The transcript is spliced from 3 exons. The record is from RefSeq and is a predicted model, not a curated record.
GAUUUCCAUUUUCAUUUUAGAAAAAAAAAUGUUUCUUGCUUCCAAUCCAUAAGUUUAUAUGUCGCUUUUCACAGGGACCCAGCACAGUGUUGGGAUAGUGUAAAAAAAACGAAUGUCAGAUACGACAGCUUCUCAAUGGGAGUCUCACAUGGCCGAGGUGAUGUGGGGCAGUGUCGUUAAGGGAAACGUAUAUUCCUUUUUUGACUUCAUCAAGGAAAUCUAUCCUCUUGACAAGCCAGCAGUAUAUACCAACAGCACUCCACUGUUUGAUACACGGACAGGUCCAAUUACAGAAAACGAGAAAAUGGAACCUGCAUUUUCAGAUGCCAAUUCGGAAUCCGCAGUUAACAUCACAGUGAGAUGAAGCAGUGUUGUGUGGAGAGAGACAUAUAGUGUGUAUUAUCUAUAUAAGGGCAGUGGUCCCAUAGACCAGUAAGUGUAAUCUUAUUUUAUACUUUGAUUUAGAUGAACCUGAUAACAUAGCCACUUAAUAACCAUGACAUGUAUGUGUAAAAUAUGUUGAUGUAUCUUAUAUUCAUUUUAUUCUUAAAUUAAUAGCUAAUUACAAUUGUUUGUAAAGAAUAUAGAGACAUAUGUAUAAAUGGCAAUGAUUUACUUCUAUGAUAUUAGGAUUAUGAUAUAUAGUUGUUUUCAUUGUUCUAUGCAUUGUAUGUAUGUUAUGAAUUUAACCUAAUAGGAAAUAUGUUAUGUUUAAUUUAUUUGCAGAGCCUAUGUAAAGUGGAUUUACUAUGUCUCUACACCUAGAUGCAAUAAAGAAUACAGUGAUUGAACUCCGUCUUUGUUUUAUUAUUAAUAUUAUGGAACAAAGCCCGGUAACACUGUGUUCAAAUAUAUAGACUGAAGUGUCCCAAAUAUAUCUAACUACCUGUAUUGAAAUAGCUUUUGUCCAAGGGGCAGGACAUGAAGUGGUUGCACACUUGGUUAAAGCGAGCGAACUAGUUGCAAACUUGACAAAAUGGCGAACAAGGCGUGAUUUUUUGAAACGGGUGAACAAAUUUUUGCCAGGCAAGUCGGGUUCUUUGUUAUUUUGAAGUUCAUUAGUAUGUCUUUUCCAUAAUGCAAUAUAUAUGCCACACUCGGUUAAAGGUUUCAGCAUCCUAGAUUUUGUUUUGAC